CUUCCGUUGGUGAAACCAGCGGAGGGAUCAUUACCGAGUUUACAACUCCCAAACCCCUGUGAACAUACCACUUGUUGCCUCGGCGGAUCAGCCCGCUCCCGGUAAAACGGGACGGCCCGCCAGAGGACCCCUAAACUCUGUUUCUAUAUGUAACUUCUGAGUAAAACCAUAAAUAAAUCAAAACUUUCAACAACGGAUCUCUUGGUUCUGGCAUCGAUGAAGAACGCAGCAAAAUGCGAUAAGUAAUGUGAAUUGCAGAAUUCAGUGAAUCAUCGAAUCUUUGAACGCACAUUGCGCCCGCCAGUAUUCUGGCGGGCAUGCCUGUUCGAGCGUCAUUUCAACCCUCAAGCACAGCUUGGUGUUGGGACUCGCGUUAAUUCGCGUUCCCCAAAUUGAUUGGCGGUCACGUCGAGCUUCCAUAGCGUAGUAGUAAAACCCUCGUUACUGGUAAUCGUCGCGGCCACGCCGUUAAACCCCAACUUCUGAAUGUUGACCUCGGAUCAGGUAGGAAUACCCGCUGAACUUAAGCAUAUAUUUAAAGCGGAGGA
Molecule: ribosomal RNA, 548 nt
Filed under: Fusarium oxysporum f. sp. cepae
Lineage: Eukaryota; Fungi; Ascomycota; Sordariomycetes; Hypocreales; Nectriaceae
Description: eukaryotic LSU rRNA
Rfam family: 5.8S ribosomal RNA (bases 182-335)
Source: RNAcentral